RNAcentral lists this ribosomal RNA (433 nucleotides) under uncultured bacterium. RNAcentral describes it as "partial 16S ribosomal RNA". It matches the Rfam family "Bacterial small subunit ribosomal RNA", at positions 29 to 507 of the family's 1533-position model. The record is from RNAcentral.
AACGAACGCUGGCGGCAGGCCUAACACAUGCAAGUCGAACGAAGUCUUCGGACUUAGUGGCGCACGGGUGAGUAACACGUGGGAAUAUACCUUACGCUGGGGGAUAACAUCGGGAAACUGAUGCUAAUACCGCAUACGCCCUUCGGGGGAAAGAUUUAUCGGCGAAAGAUUAGCCCGCGUCCGAUUAGCUAGUUGGUGAGGUAAUGGCUCACCAAGGCUCCGAUCGGUAGCUGGUCUGUGAGGAUGACCAGCCACACUGGGACUGAGACACGGCCCAGACUCCUACGGGAGGCAGCAGUGGGGAAUAUUGGACAAUGGGCGCAAGCCUGAUCCAGCCAUGCCGCGUGAGUGAUGAAGGCCUUAGGGUUGUAAAGCUCUUUCACCCACGACGAUGAUGACGGUAGUGGGAGAAGAAGCCCCGGCUAACUUCGUG